AGCAGCCGCGGUAAUUCCAGCUCCAAUAGCGUAUAUUAAAGUUGUUGCAGUUAAAAAGCUCGUAGUUGAAUUUCGGGAUCAAUAUGUCGGUCGUGCCUUCGGUACGUACUGGUAUCAUUGGUCUCUCCUUUCUGACGAACCAUGAUGUCAUUAAUUUGGUGUUAUGGGGAGUUAGGACUGUUACUUUGAAAAAUUAGAGUGUUUAAAGCAGGCUCACGCUUGAAUACAUUAGCAUGGAAUAAUGAAAUAGGACGUUUGAUUCUAUUUUGUUGGUUUCUAGGAUCGACGUAAUGAUUAAUAGGGAUAGUUGGGGGCAUUAGUAUUCAAUUGUCAGAGGUGAAAUUCUUGGAUUUAUUGAAGACUAACUACUGCGAAAGCAUUUGCCAAGGAUGUUUCCAUUAAUCAAGAACGAAAGUUAGGGGAUCGAAGACGAUCAGAUACUGUCGUAGUCUUAACCAUAAACUAUGCCGACUAGGGAUCGGAU
RNAcentral lists this ribosomal RNA (484 nucleotides) under uncultured Glomus. Its description in RNAcentral is "SSU rRNA". It matches the Rfam family "Eukaryotic small subunit ribosomal RNA", at positions 569 to 1058 of the family's 1831-position model. Lineage: Eukaryota; Fungi; Glomeromycota; Glomeromycetes; Glomerales; Glomeraceae. The record is from RNAcentral.